AUCUUAAUCUGGUAGGGGAGACACCAUGAUCAGGUGGUUUUCUCAGGGUGAGGCUCAGCCAUUGCACUUCGACUGUGCUGACCCUUGCGAUUUCUCUGCAUGCGGUAAACUCGACUGCAUCACUUAUGGUAGUGGGGGCCUGCGUUCGCACUCUCCCCUG
This is a small nuclear RNA of Tachyglossus aculeatus (Australian echidna), 160 nucleotides long. RefSeq annotates it as U1 spliceosomal RNA. NCBI's taxonomy places the organism in Eukaryota, Metazoa, Chordata, Mammalia, Monotremata, Tachyglossidae. The transcript has a single exon. The record is from RefSeq and is a predicted model, not a curated record.